This 468-nucleotide ribosomal RNA is filed under the name uncultured bacterium. RNAcentral's name for it is "partial 16S ribosomal RNA". It matches the Rfam family "Bacterial small subunit ribosomal RNA", at positions 28 to 507 of the family's 1533-position model. The record is from RNAcentral.
GACGAACGCUGGCGGCGUGCUUAACACAUGCAAGUCGAACGGAAAGGCCCUGCUUUUGUGGGGUGCUCGAGUGGCGAACGGGUGAGUAACACGUGAGUAACCUGCCCUUGACUUUGGGAUAACUUCAGGAAACUGGGGCUAAUACCGGAUAGGAGCUCCUGCUGCAUGGUGGGGGUUGGAAAGUUUCGGCGGUUGGGGAUGGACUCGCGGCUUAUCAGCUUGUUGGUGGGGUAGUGGCUUACCAAGGCUUUGACGGGUAGCCGGCCUGUGAGGGUGACCGGCCACAUUGGGACUGAGAUACGGCGCAGACUCCAACGGGAGGCAGCAGUGGGGAAUAUUGCACAAUGGGCGGAAGCCUGAUGCAGCAACGCCGCGUGCGGGAUGACGGCCUUCGGGUUGUAAACCGCUUUCGCCUGUGACGAAGCGUGAGUGACGGUAAUGGGUAAAGAAGCACCGGCUAACUACGUG